This is a long non-coding RNA of Haliotis rubra (blacklip abalone), 317 nucleotides long. RefSeq lists it as uncharacterized. Lineage: Eukaryota; Metazoa; Mollusca; Gastropoda; Lepetellida; Haliotidae. The transcript has 2 exons. The record is from RefSeq and is a predicted model, not a curated record.
AGGAAAAAUUGACUAGUUUGUUUGGAAGAAAAUACCCCAAAGUCAACAAUUUUUGUUUUAAUAGUGAAAAUGAAUAAAUUGUUUGACUUCUCAGUCAGUAAAGACUUUGUUCGACUCAGCUAGGUUAAAAAGAAAAAUAUAUAUCCUCCCUGCUUCCCUUCCUUAAUCUGUAAAUCAGAUGGAUGCCUCCCUAAGGAGAAGUGGAAGGAAAAUGAUGUACCUUUAGAAUUCAAACACUUUGUGGAACACUUCCUGUCUUACAGUAGAAAACAUCCUAUACAGCAGGAACAAUAUUUACACCUGCAGGCAUUCACAAC